GUACCAAUAUAUACAGUAUUCAUACAUUUUUAUUUAUAUUUUUAAGGAAAUGAAUCAGAUUUUGGCUGAGCUUGAAGAAAAGAUUGCUAACCAUACUUCCAGUUGGCAGCAGGAACAUCUAAUUCAGGAAGAAAUGAAGGGUACACUGACUAUGAUGUGUGCUGCCCCACCUGUCUAUUUCACAGAGCUGGAAAGAAUACUGCAGCAUGAGAAAGCCAGAAUUCAUCAGCAGGUUGAACAAGCAUUACAGAUAUCUGAGACAGAGGCCGAGAAAAGAGCAGAUUCAAACAAACAAGAGCUGGAAGAACUGAGAAUGAGAGUGGCAAUGAUGGAACUGGAGAACUCUCAGCUGAUGAACCAACAAAACCAACAGUAGAGGUGUUAUUGUGGAGUUUAGCAUAUGACGUUCUUAAUAGAGAAACAAGUAAUAGGUUUAUU
This 438-nucleotide long non-coding RNA is filed under the name Lepisosteus oculatus (spotted gar). Its description in RNAcentral is "lncRNA (ENSLOCG00000023233.1)". Lineage: Eukaryota; Metazoa; Chordata; Actinopteri; Semionotiformes; Lepisosteidae. The record is from RNAcentral.